UACCUCUUAGUCGUAAGGAUGCCUCUAUAGGCGCCAGGAUCUUUGUAAAGAUUUGAGGGGCUGAUGAGAGGCCAAAGGGAAGUGCCUUGAACGGAAAAUGUAGAAUCUUCAGUUUUCCCGUUAAAAUUGCAAAUCUUAGGAACUUCUGAGAAAACACAGACACUAGGGUAGGCCGGAAGGAACGGUCUUGUUUUUGUACCAGAAACAGGCGUUAG
Non-coding RNA from Pelobates cultripes (western spadefoot toad), 215 nucleotides. The record is from the annotation of a GenBank genome assembly. NCBI's taxonomy places the organism in Eukaryota, Metazoa, Chordata, Amphibia, Anura, Pelobatidae.